RNAcentral lists this ribosomal RNA (1472 nucleotides) under uncultured Bordetella sp. RNAcentral describes it as "partial 16S-23S ribosomal RNA intergenic spacer". It matches the Rfam family "Bacterial small subunit ribosomal RNA". Lineage: Bacteria; Pseudomonadati; Pseudomonadota; Betaproteobacteria; Burkholderiales; Alcaligenaceae. The record is from RNAcentral.
AUUCUGGCUCAGAUUGAACGCUGGCGGGAUGCUUUACACAUGCAAGUCGAACGCGGCAAGCACGGACUUCGGUCUGGUGGCGAGUGGCAGGUGGGUGAGUAAUAUCCGGAACGUGCCUAGUAGCGGGGGAUAACUACGCGAAAGCGUAGCUAAUACCAUACGCCCUUCGGGGAAAGCGAGGGAUCUUCGGGCCUCGCACUAUUAGGAAGCAGCCGAUAUCGGAUUAGCUAGUUGGUGGGGUAACGGCUCACCAAGGCGACGAUCCGUAGCUGGUUUGAGAGGACGACCAACCACACUGCGGGACUGAGACACGGCCCAGACUCCUACGGGAGGCAGCAGUGGGGAAUUUUGGACAAUGGGGAAACCCUGAUCCAGCCAUCCCGCGUGUGCGAUGAAGGCCUUCGGGUUAUAAGCACUUUUUGGCAGGAAAGAAACGGCACGGGAUAAUACCCCGUGCAACUGACAAUACCACUGCAGAACCAGCACCGGCUUAACUACGUGCCAGCAGCCGCGGUAAUACGUAGGGGUGCAAGCGUUAAUCGGAAAUUACUGGGCGUAAAGCGUGCGCAGGCGGUUCGGAAGAAAGAUGUGAAAUCCCAGAGCUUAACUUUGGAACUGCAUUUUUAACUACCGAGCUAGAGUGUGUGCAGAAGGUGCGUUCCGCGUGUAGCAGUGAAAUGCGUAAGAUAUGCGGAGGAACACCAAUUGGCGAAGGCAGCCUCCUGGGAUAACGCGGCAGCAUCAUGCAGAAAGCGUGGGGAGCAAACAGGAUUAGAUACCCUGGUAGUCACGCCCUAAACGAUGUCAACUAGCUGUUGGGGCCUUCGGGCCUUGGUAGCGCAACUAACAUGAGGUUGACCGCCUGGGGAGUACGGUCGCAAGAUUAAAACUCAAAGGAAUUGACGGGGACCCGCACAAGCGGUGGAUGAUGUGGACAAUUCGAUGCAACGCGAAAAACCUUACCUACCCUUGACAUGUCUGGAAUCCCGAAGAUUUGGGAGUGCUCGCAAGAGAACCGGAACACAGGUGCUGCAUGGCUGUCGUCAGCUCGUGUCGUGAGAUGUUGGGUUAAGUCCCGCAAUAGGCGCAACCCUUGUCAUUAGUUGCUACGAAGAGCGCUCAGCCAGGACUGCCGGUGACAAACCGGAGGAAGAUGGGGAUGACGUCAAGUCCUCAUGGCCCUUAUGGGUAGGGCUUCACGUCAUACAAUGGUCGGGACAGAGGGUCGCCAGCCCGCGAGGGGAGCCAAUCCCAGAAACCCGAUCCUUGAUCCGGAUCGCAGUCUGCAACUCGACUGCGUGAAGUCGGAAUCGCUAAUCGCGGAUCAGCAUGUCGCGGUGAAUACGUUCCGGAUGUAACACACACCGCCCGUCACACCAUGGGAGUGGGUUUACAAGUAGUUUAGCCUAACCGUAAGGAGGGCGAUUACCACGGUAGGAUUCCGCUGACUGGGGUGAAGUCGUAACAGGUAG